UACAGAGGUGGCAAGCGUUGUUCGGAAUUACUGGGCGUAAAGGGCGCGUAGGCGGUCUUGUAAGUCUCGUGUGAAAUCCCUCGGCUUAACUGAGGAACUGCACGGGAUACUGCUUGACUUGAGUUCGGGAGAGGGAAGCGGAAUUCCGGGUGUAGCGGUGAAAUGCGUAGAGAUGUGGAGGAACACCGAUGGCGAAGGCAGCCUUCUGGGCCAAUACUGACGCUCAUGCACGAAAGCGUGGGGAGCAAACAGG
Molecule: ribosomal RNA, 253 nt
Filed under: uncultured bacterium
Lineage: Bacteria
Description: partial 16S ribosomal RNA
Rfam family: Bacterial small subunit ribosomal RNA
Source: RNAcentral